RNAcentral lists this ribosomal RNA (253 nucleotides) under uncultured bacterium. RNAcentral describes it as "partial 16S ribosomal RNA". It matches the Rfam family "Bacterial small subunit ribosomal RNA", at positions 524 to 776 of the family's 1533-position model. The record is from RNAcentral.
UACGUAGGCAGCGAGCGUUGUUCGGAAUUACUGGGCGUAAAGAGUGUGUAGGCGGUGCUCUAAGUUCGGUGUGAAAUCUCCUGGCUCAACUGGGAGGGUGCGCCGGAAACUGGAGUGCUUGAGCGUGGGAGAGGAAAGCGGAAUCCCUGGUGUAGCGGUGAAAUGCGUAGAUAUCAGGAGGAACACCUGUGGUGUAGACGGCUUUCUGGACCAUAGCUGACGCUGAGACACGAAAGCGUGGGUAGCAAACAGG